This 2145-nucleotide ribosomal RNA is filed under the name wastewater metagenome. RNAcentral describes it as "bacterial LSU rRNA". It matches the Rfam family "Bacterial large subunit ribosomal RNA", at positions 790 to 2925 of the family's 2925-position model. The record is from RNAcentral.
UGCAAAACUAGGGGAUGAGCUGUGGAUAGGGGUGAAAGGCUAAACAAACUCGGAGAUAGCUGGUUCUCCCCGAAAACUAUUUAGGUAGUGCCUCAUGUAUCACUUCCGGGGGUAAAGCACUGUUAUGGCUAGGGGGUCAUUGCGAUUUACCAAACCAUGGCAAACUCUGAAUACCGGAAAGUGCAAGCAUGGGAGACAGACGGUGGGUGCUAACGUCCAUCGUCAAGAGGGAAACAACCCAGACCGCCAGCUAAGGUCCCAAAUGAUCAGUUAAGUGGUAAACGAGGUGGGAAGGCAUAGACAGCCAGGAUGUUGGCUUAGAAGCAGCCAUCAUUUAAAGAAAGCGUAAUAGCUCACUGGUCGAGUCGUCCUGCGCGGAAGAUGUAACGGGGCUCAAACUGAUAACCGAAGCUGCGGAUGUGUACUUAGUACACGUGGUAGGGGAGCGUUCUGUAGGUCUGUGAAGGUGGUGGUGUAAACCCUGCUGGAGAUAUCAGAAGUGCGAAUGCUGACAUGAGUAGCGAUAAAGCGGGUGAAAAGCCCGCUCGCCGAAAGCCCAAGGUUUCCUACGCAACGUUCAUCGGCGUAGGGUGAGUCGGCCCCUAAGGCGAGGCUGAAAAGCGUAGUCGAUGGGAAACGGGUUAAUAUUCCCGUACUUUUAUGCAGUGCGAUGUGGGGACGGAGAAGGUUAGGUUAGCGGCCUGUUGGAAUAGGUCGUUUAAGCCGGUAGGCUGGUGCGGUAGGCAAAUCCGCUGCACCUUAAGGCCGAGAGGUGAUGACGAGGGUCUACGGACCUGAAGUAACUGAUACCACGCUUCCAGGAAAAGCCACUAAGCUUCAGCUGCAUAAGAACCGUACCGCAAACCGACACAGGUGGGCAGGAUGAGAAUUCUAAGGCGCUUGAGAGAACUCAGGAGAAGGAACUCGGCAAAUUGACACCGUAACUUCGGGAGAAGGUGUGCCUCUGUUGGUGUAGGACCUCGCGUCCGAAGCUAGUAGAGGUCGCAGAGAAUAGGUGGCUGCGACUGUUUAACAAAAACACAGCUCUGUGCCAACACGAAAGUGGACGUAUACGGAGUGACGCCUGCCCGGUGCUGGAAGAUUAAAUGAUGGGGUGCAAGCUCUUGAUUGAAGUCCCAGUAAACGGCGGCCGUAACUAUAACGGUCCUAAGGUAGCGAAAUUCCUUGUCGGGUAAGUUCCGACCCGCACGAAUGGCGUAACGAUGGCCACACUGUCUCCUCCUGAGACUCAGCGAAGUUGAAAUGUUUGUGAAGAUGCAAUCUACCCGCUGCUAGACGGAAAGACCCCGUGAACCUUUACUGUAGCUUUGCAUUGGACUUUGAACAGACUUGUGUAGGAUAGGUGGGAGGCUAUGAAGCUGGAACGCUAGUUUCAGUGGAGCCGUCCUUGAAAUACCACCCUGGUGUGUUUGAGGUUCUAACCUUGGUCCGUGAUCCGGAUCGGGGACAGUGCAUGGUAGGCAGUUUGACUGGGGCGGUCUCCUCCCAAAGUGUAACGGAGGAGUUCGAAGGUUACCUAGGUACGGUCGGAAAUCGUGCUGAUAGUGCAAUGGCAAAAGGUAGCUUAACUGCGAGACCGACAAGUCGAGCAGGUGCGAAAGCAGGACAUAGUGAUCCGGUGGUUCUGAAUGGAAGGGCCAUCGCUCAACGGAUAAAAGGUACUCCGGGGAUAACAGGCUGAUUCCGCCCAAGAGUUCACAUCGACGGCGGAGUUUGGCACCUCGAUGUCGGCUCAUCACAUCCUGGGGCUGUAGCCGGUCCCAAGGGUAUGGCUGUUCGCCAUUUAAAGUGGUACGUGAGCUGGGUUUAAAACGUCGUGAGACAGUUUGGUCCCUAUCUGCCGUGGGCGCUGGAAAUUUGAAGGGGGCUGCUCCUAGUACGAGAGGACCGGAGUGGACGAACCUCUGGUGUACCGGUUGUGACGCCAGUCGCAUCGCCGGGUAGCUAAGUUCGGAAGAGAUAACCGCUGAAAGCAUCUAAGCGGGAAACUUGCCUGAAGAUGAGACUUCCCUGGAGGCUUGACCUCCCUGAAGAGUCGUUCGAGACCAGGACGUUGAUAGGUCGGGUGUGGAAGCGCUGUGAGGCGUUAAGCUAACCGAUACUAAUUGCUCGUGAGGCUUGAUC